CACGUAGGAGGCAAGCGUUAUCCGGAUUUACUGGGCGUAAAAUGGCGUGCAGGCGGUUCGGUAAGUUGGAUGUGAAAGCUCCCGGCUCAACUGGGAGAGGUCGUUCAAUACUGCCGGACUAGAGGACGGUAGAGGGAGGUGGAAUUCCCGGUGUAGUGGUGAAAUGCGUAGAUAUCGGGAGGAACACCAGUGGCGAAGGCGGCCUCCUGGGCCGUUCCUGACGCUCAGACGCGAAAGCAUGGGGAGCGAACGGGAUUAGAAACCCCGGUAGUCCAUGCCGUAAACGAUGCGGACUUGGUGUUGGCGGUGUAAAAACCGUCAGUGCCGUAGCUAACGCGAUAAGUCCGCCGCCUGGGGACUACGACCGCAAGGUUAAAACUCAAAGGAAUUGACGGGUUCCCGCACAAGCAGCGGAGCGUGUGGUUUAAUUCGAUGCUACGCGAAGAACCUUACCUGGGCUUGACAUACAGGUGGUAGGGAUCCGAAAGGUGACCGACCCUUCGGGGAGCCUGUACAGGUGCUGCAUGGCUGUCGUCAGCUCGUGUCGUGAGAUGUCCGGUUAAGUCCGUUAACGAGCGCAACCCUUGCCGUAUGUUACAUGUUGUCAUACGGGACUGCCGAUGUAAAGUCGGAGGAAGGCGGGGAUGACGUCAAGUCAGCAUGGCCUCUAUGUCCAGGGCUACACACACGCUACAAUGGCCGGUACAAUGGGUUGCAAAGCCGCGAGGUGGAGCCAAUCCCCAAAGCCGGUCUCAGUUCGGAUUGCAGGCUGCAACUCGCCUGCAUGAAGNUGG
This 794-nucleotide ribosomal RNA is filed under the name uncultured bacterium. RNAcentral's name for it is "bacterial SSU rRNA". It matches the Rfam family "Bacterial small subunit ribosomal RNA", at positions 524 to 1329 of the family's 1533-position model. The record is from RNAcentral.